Molecule: long non-coding RNA, 1846 nt
Organism: Myotis daubentonii (Daubenton's bat)
Lineage: Eukaryota; Metazoa; Chordata; Mammalia; Chiroptera; Vespertilionidae
Source: RefSeq, a predicted model, not a curated record
CAAGAGCCUGCUAAGUUAACGGAAAAGGAAUUGUAAGCAAGGAACUGGGAGAGUGGCAUGCCAUAGACACUAAGAGAAAAUGUUUUUAAAAAUCAAGUGUAGUAAACAGCAACACAAGCUGUGGAGAGGUCAGGAAGGUAAAAAUAGAAAGAGUGUGUAUUGGCUUUAGUCACAAGACCAUUGAGAGUUUCAGAAACCAAAUCACAGUGGUUUCAAAACUGAAGGGGAGUUAUGAGAAUGGGGGAGAGUGGAAGAGAGAGUGAAAGACAGAGAGAAACAUCAAUGUGCGAGAAACACAUCAAUUGUUUGUCUACUGCAGGAGCCCUGACCAGGGCCUGGGCUGAGGAGGAGCCUGCAACCAAGAACUGACCACCAGGGAACUGGCAACUCUGAAGGCACCACCAGAUCUGCUGAGCUCAAGAACUCACUUUGACAAGCUGCCAAAGACAACCUAGAAUCAGGAAGCUGCCAGCAUUGUGCCACUAAGGACAUUGCCUCUCAACACUCAUAAAACAAUGGGAUCUGGACCACAGACCAGCCAUGCCUUACCCUACACCACGCCUCCUGCACACAACUCUCAGUACUCAGGAACGGACAUGGACUAUUGUAGAUGAAAUAUUUAGCAUCUCCACAACCCUUUUUGCCAUUUGAAAACAGCCAGGUCAAGGAGAUUGUUUCUAUCUCACUGUCGCCUUUCAAGUUCAGCUCAGGUUCACCCACUUGUCAGAACCUAUUGCCUGUCCUGAAUCCUAGUGGCAGCAGAGUCAGGGAAAUGUACUGUUCCGCUCUCUCACCUCUGAGGUUCAGGGAGGGGCCUUAGGAGAGCUUCUCAACUGGGGGUGAGUUUGCUCUCCCUUUCCUGGCCUUGAGACAUUUGGCAAUGCCUGGAGACACUGCUGGUUGUCACAACUGGGAGGUGGGUACUACUGGUGUCUAGUGAGUAGAGGCCAGAGUUAUUACUAAACAUCUUACGAUACACAAGCCAGCCCCCACAACAAAGAAUCGUCUGGCUUAAAAUGGCUGAGGUUGAGAAACUGUGCUACAGAAAGAGAGUGAAAGAGAGAUUGACUAAACAAAACCACCGUGUCCAGCAACGGAGAAGGGCCCAGAUUCAUUAUACAAAUCAUUAGUCUCAAAGUGGUUUCUAUGUUUUUUGUUUGUUUGUUUGUUUUUAAAGAAAGUCCAUUAGAAGCUGGAGUAGUUAGAGAAUUUUUCACAAAUGAUGUGAGGCUGGAAUUGCAUUCUAAAGAUGGUUAAGAAUUGUAUAUGCUGAGACAGUAGCAAAGAUGAUGAGUGUGAGGAAGGGAAAGUAACCUAAGGCUGGAAGUUAGGAAUGAAAAGGCAUGUUUAUAAGGAAAAGGGAAGAUCAGCCUGAUGUUAUGAAGUUUCAAAAUAGGUGUUUAAACAGGUGGUGUCAGAUUGUGAAGAGCUUUGAACAUCUGGCUGAAAAGUUUGAACUGUAGCGUGGUGGAGCGGAAAGGCUUAGGAAGGCGGCAAAAGCAAGUUUGGUCCUGACUCCUCCACAUCCUGGAGUGAAAUCCUGGAAACAUUUCUUAGCUUUUCCAGGGUGCAGUCUCCUCUGCCAGAGAUACUAUUACAGCCUUCGGUGGUUUACAUAAGCUCAGUGUGUACAGGACCCUGUUCCUUUUUUGUCCUUUUGAUAAUAGGGACCUGUUGGGCCUUGCAUAUUCCCCAACUUAAAAAGAAAUCAGACAAUUCUGUAGCCUACAAGCCGAUCUCUCAAUGCAACCCCAGCCUUGUAGUCAAAAGCCAAGUAAAAUAGUGAGUGGAACCAUGUGGCAUUUUGUUAUGUUUGGGGAACUACUUUUAUUAAUUUACUAGAGGA